Long non-coding RNA from Helianthus annuus (common sunflower), 3181 nucleotides. RefSeq lists it as uncharacterized. The transcript is spliced from 5 exons. NCBI's taxonomy places the organism in Eukaryota, Viridiplantae, Streptophyta, Magnoliopsida, Asterales, Asteraceae. The record is from RefSeq and is a predicted model, not a curated record.
GUGCAUAAUGUACUACUCAUUAAAAAACACACGGCAUCACUAUCUCAUUAGGGUUUCAGAUGUCUAUCUCAUUCCUAUCCGCCUCCCUCUCUCUCUCUCUCUCGGCGAUUCAGAAACCCCAAGCUAUCUUCACCAGAUCUGUUUGAGAAUUUGCUUUCUUAGGCUGCUAUUGAUGGUGGUUGUCUGGUUAAGUUGUUGAUUGUGCAAUUGCCCUGCUUUCUCUCUCAAAUGAGAUCUAGGGUUUCUACAUAUGAUUCAAGAUCUGGCUAUCGCAGCUUUCUCUCUCAAACGAGAUCUAGGGUUUCUACAUACGCUUCAAGAUCUGGCUUUCACAGUUCGGUUCGACACAUUUCAAAUUGAGAUCCCUUUUUCCAUUUUCGUUCUCUCUCUCCCUCAAAGAUCUGGAUUUGGAUCUGUGGAUCCAAAAGGAAAAACAAUCAGAGAUGUUCUUUUACCCCAAAAAUCACUGUGCUCUUUUAUAUACAUACAUCUGGUGAGAACCAAACCUUGCAAGACCCAAAAUUUCACCCAGUUGAUGUUUGUAUCUGCUUUAAACUUGCAGAUCUAGGGUUUUACUUUCAUGUCUGAGGUAAACUCUACUUUGAAUCAACAGAUCUAGGGUUUUAUACCUCAUGUUUGAGGGUUUUAUUCUUGGAAGGAUCUUAAGGACCACAUGCGUAAGGCUGGAGAUGCAUGUUUUGCUGAAGUUUCUUGGAUAAUCCCGUCCCCGAUACACAGCCAACAGAUCAGCAUCAGCGGCUUUCCUUAUGCUUUGACAAACUAAUGGGUGAUGUCUCCAGAAAAUUGGAUUCGAAGAACCGAGACAAGUUCACUCAGAAUCUGACAAUAUUGAGAAACGGUUGACCGAAAACGAGUAUAAAACAGCUGGGAAGGAUAUCAGAGCGCUUAAGCUGAUUCUAGAAGCAAUGCAGAAGGCAAAAAAGAGAUUCUACAUUCAAGACACUUUGAUUUAUCUCUAAUGAAUAAUGGUACAACCCUUUGGUGGAGUGGGCAUGGAUGAGGUCAUUAUGGUGGGAGCAGAUGAAAGGUUGGCAUCUGCAUCUGCAUCAGCAUCAGUACCAUGGAGUCCUAAGCAGCUUGCUGAUCGUAGGCCCUGGUGGUUACUAGAAGUGAAGUGAGAACGUGGAAUUCGGGUGGUUUUGUUAAAAGACUCGUGAGUGAUCUCGACUAAUCAAAAUAUGUUCUUUUAUGCAGUUUGAUCAUAUGUUAUAGCUAGGAAAAUGAACUUCAUGUGGAAUAAAGUUAGUGUAUUAAGUAGUAAUCAAGAUUAACCAGUAUUUACUAAAGUUUGAGCUUUUUUUUUCAACCGUAGUGAAAUAAAUAUUUAGUCUGGCUAGGGUUUGAAUAUAAAUUGAAUCAGCAUUAAUCGUUCAUUUAUGUCGCCUAUUUUUUUUAAUUCUCAGUUAAACAAAAUUUUUGAUGCUGAGUAUAAAAAUCAUAUUGUUCGAAUUUAUGAUUACUUUGUAUAUCAAUGGCAUUUGUGCAUUGCUUUUGAACUGCUCGAUUCAGAUUUGUCAGUUUCUAUUUGUUACAUUAAUCAUUUUCUAUCAGCUUCAUAUUAGGAUUUGAGUUUUUUUGUUUGUGAUUUUGCAUCAAGAAUGAGCUUGUAAGGCUAAAUCGAUUUGGUUUAUUAAGGUUUCGGUUUGCUUAAUUCGGUUUAGAAACUCAAUGUUCCUGUUGUUUGGGUUAAAACAGGAACCGAAACCGUAAUGGUUAUUCGGUCAGGUUUAUUUUGGUUAGGAAAUGGUGUUUAGUCUGGCUAGGGUUUGAAUAUAAAUUGAAUCAGCAUUAAUCGUUCAUUUAUGUCGCCUAUUUUUUUUAAUUCUCAGUUAAACAAAAUUUUUGAUGCUGAGUAUAAAAAUCAUAUUGUUCGAAUUUAUGAUUACUUUGUAUAUCAAUGGCAUUUGUGCAUUGCUUUUGAACUGCUCGAUUCAGAUUUGUCAGUUUCUAUUUGUUACAUUAAUCAUUUUCUAUCAGCUUCAUAUUAGGAUUUGAGUUUUUUUGUUUGUGAUUUUGCAUCAAGAAUGAGCUUGUAAGGCUAAAUCGAUUUGGUUUAUUAAGGUUUCGGUUUGCUUAAUUCGGUUUAGAAACUCAUUGUUCCUGUUGUUUGGGUUAAAACAGGAACCGAAACCGUAAUGGUUAUUCGGUCAGGUUUAUUUUGGUUAGGAAAUGGUGUUUAGUUUGAUCGGUUUGAAACCGAAAAAUCAAGGUCUUAGUAUCUUUUUUACACUUGUUUUUAGCUGAUCCCAAGCCUAUUUUCUUAUCUCUUGGGUUUAUUCAGUUUACAAAUUCGAUCCUUCGUGUUUUGGUUACAACCCGAACCAUAAACCGAAUUGGUUAUUCGGUUCGAGUUUUAAUUCAAUCGGGUAAGUUGUUUAUCUGUUCGGUUUUCGGUUUAAUUUGUUUGAAAAUGUGUUAAUUUUCUUUUUACAUUUUAUAGAAAACUUCAGUUUUAUGGUCACUCUUGUUGCAGUCAAAGUUAUUCCAAAGUCAAAGAACAACUGGGCACACAUUUCUGAAUCUUCUUCAGUGGCUAAAAUGGUGAAAGAGUGCAGGCUGCAUAGAUGGUCCUCUCUCUCUGAUUUCCUAAAAUGGUGAAAGAGUGCAACAGAGUCAUUUCAUUUUUAUGUAGCCUGCUCAUUUCAACAGUAACACACUUUAUAGCCUGCUCUUCCCUUUCCUUUUAAAAACUGGUCAAACAAAUAACCCUCACACAAACCAUUUUAACCCUUCAGGUGUCAUGCAUUUACACAUUAAACCCUUACUCUCUCUCACUUCCCUUAUAAGAAGCACCUCCCCACAUUAACUCACUUUUACUCUUCCUCGACCUCCAUAAUUUGAGUCGAAACUCCCACUACACACACACACACAAGUUCAAGCUGAAGCAACUUAAGGUAGUUUGAACCUGUUUGAAACUGAAGCAAGUUCAAGCAUCCUCCUAAAACUCCCUUUUAAGUUUAGUGUAAAAAAUGUAGUAUAUUCUCAUAACUAAUUAACUGUAGGUUAUGUUGGACAGUUAUAAGUUUUCUUGUUUUACCUUUUUAAUCAGUCUUGCAAGUUCAAAUUUGUAUUAAUUGUACAUGUCAUAGAUUGUGUUGUGUAUUUGUGGACGGGGUAAUAUUGGAAUGAAGCUACUAUAUAGCCUGCUGUUUUACUAUUA